This is a non-coding RNA of Arachis ipaensis, 1926 nucleotides long. Lineage: Eukaryota; Viridiplantae; Streptophyta; Magnoliopsida; Fabales; Fabaceae. The record is from RefSeq and is a predicted model, not a curated record.
UGAAAAACUAAUGAAUCGAGUUUUAAAUGGAUCUGAUUUAAGGAAGAAAACUAACCAAAAUCAGACAGAAUCAGUUUAUGAGUUCAUAAUGAAUGUGCUGCUUCAAAAGAAAAUCUUACCUUCCAAACUAAAUUUGUUUAAUUGUUUCCAAUAUACUGUUUAAAAAGAAUGAUUGAGUUGAGCUCAAUCUUUCUGCUUUUGAUAUUAGAAUUUGAAAACAAAUUUUAAGCGCUGUCUUUCUUUUUUGAGUGCACAGAUUUAAUUCAGGUUUAAAAAUCAAUUCUUUGCUAUAUUUUGUGUAUCUCUCUUUCUCUUCUUUCUUUCUUGCGUUCUCUUUCUCUCUGAUUGAGUGGUGGUUCAAAAUACAUGGAGAUAUCAUCAGACAUCAGCGAGGAAGAAGCAAGCAAGGAGCUCGCUGCUGAUGGAAGCAGUAACGGUGACUGCUGAUAAUACAAAAAGGAGAGAGGGAGGGAGAGAGAGGGAGAGAGAGAGAAAGAGGGGCAGAACGAAGCAGAGAAGAAGAAAACAGCACAGUGACAAAAGGAACCACGACCGACGAAGGAGAAGAAGGUGGCAACGACGGUGAUAGAUUGGAAAGAAGGAGGCUACGUCGAGAGAAAGGAAGAGGAGUGAGGUGACGAUGGUGAUGGAGGCCACGACGCUAUUGGAUCCGCAGAACAGCGUCACAGCCGCUCCUUUACCGACGGCGGCGGCGGGUGCUGCGAACGCGUCGAAGCAGCUCGUUACGGUGUCGUUGUACAUCGGGGAUCUGGACCCUGAGGUCGACGAGAACUUCUACGAUUUGUUCGACCAGAUACAGUUGGUUUAGGAAGUUCUCCCGCUGCUGUUGCAGAACAAAAACGGCCCCUUGGAUUUUUAUGCUGAAAGAAGAGAAGAGAAGAGAAAAUUCUUAGUCCACAGAUGGAGGCAUUUGGUUUAGGCAGUGACUUGACCACUCGCUGAUCGCCCGGUUGAGGUUACGUUAAUUUCCAUUAAGUAUAGAUGAUUUGUGUGUGAACUGCUUUGCAUUUUGAAGGGAACUCAUUGAGAAGUAGUGAAAUAACAACCUUUGAUGCCAUCUUCAAUUUCAGUGGAACAAAAUCCCAAUUAUCUUGGAGAGUAGAAAAAUCCUUCAUCAUUAGCUUUGUGUCCAGCAACUAAGAACUGCAUAUCAACAUAUGAGAAUAUCACUCAUACCAUUCAUUAUGCUCCUCCUUGGUUUAUUCCGAUGCACCUGAUGGACAUGAACCAUUGGCUUUAGACAUGGGAAGCAUGGGGAAGGUCAGGUAUGGAUUAACGGAGAGAACAUAGGAAGAUACUGGACGGCUUAUGCAGAUGGUUGCUAAUAGGCGUGACUAGCAGAAAAAGGCAUAUAGCAAGAUGUGUCAAUAAGCAUUUCCGGUAAGCUAAGCAAGCUAAUGAUGCUUACAAUUUUAUGCACAAUUAUUAUGCAGAUAAGGUGAGCUAUGCAGGGAAGUAUGCACCUGAGUUAGAACCCUGAUAAAUGAUAGGAACCUUCCCCCUUCUCUCCAUAUUAAUCUCAAAUGUAAGGUUCUACGUGGUGCAUAAAGACUUUUGUUCUAUUAAGUGAAGCUAAGAAUAUUUCCCUUAUUUUAUGUGUAAUUAUGGAAUUAUUGUACAUGUUACUUACACAUUUCAUUUCGUUCUAGAACCUUGAUGUCUUUCGCCUUACACUUUCCUUAUUUUUAUUGUAUCUUUUUUUCAGAAGUCUACUUCUGCGUUUCAAUAAUUCUCUAUAUACAAUAAUUCUUUUUUGGCAGACAAGUGCAUUUUAAAAUUUACUGUAUUGAACCCUAAAGAACGCAUUUAGACCAUGUUAGAUGGAGAAGUUGUAAAUGAUGAUAUUGUCCUUUGCAAUUUUUGUGGAUUGCAAAAUUUGAACAAAGGCAAACUAUAUUGUUACUA